AACGAACGCUGGCGGCAUGCCUAACACAUGCAAGUCGAACGAGACCUUCGGGUCUAGUGGCGCACGGGUGCGUAACGCGUGGGAACCUGCCCUUAGGUUCGGGAUAACUCCCCGAAAGGGGUGCUAAUACCGGAUAAUGUCUUCGGACCAAAGAUUUAUCGCCUUUGGAUGGGCCCGCGUUGGAUUAGCUAGUUGGUAGGGUAAAAGCCUACCAAGGCGACGAUCCAUAGCUGGUCUGAGAGGAUGAUCAGCCACACUGGGACUGAGACACGGCCCAGACUCCUACGGGAGGCAGCAGUGGGGAAUAGUGGACAAUGGGCGAAAGCCUGAUCCAGCAAUGCCGCGUGAGUGAUGAAGGCCUUAGGGUUGUAAAGCUCUUUUACCCGGGAUGAUAAUGACAGUACCGGGAGAAUAAGCUCCGGCUAACUCCGUG
Molecule: ribosomal RNA, 433 nt
Filed under: uncultured bacterium
Lineage: Bacteria
Description: partial 16S ribosomal RNA
Rfam family: Bacterial small subunit ribosomal RNA
Source: RNAcentral